This is a non-coding RNA of Pocillopora verrucosa, 953 nucleotides long. NCBI's taxonomy places the organism in Eukaryota, Metazoa, Cnidaria, Anthozoa, Scleractinia, Pocilloporidae. The record is from RefSeq and is a predicted model, not a curated record.
AAAUGGUAUGAGGAAUUCUUUCAAUUUUUUAUUUUUAAUUUUUCUUUUAUUUUUCUGGAAAUAAGUACUGUUGUCUUUCUCACUUCACACUUGAAUUCGGGACAGAAGGUGAGGGGAAUGUGGGCUGAAAGUUGGGGUGUCUGUGCCAGACAGUUUGAUCCUGCCUUUUUCUGUAUUAUCAUGUAUUAACUUUUUAAUUUUCCAUUCCAGCAUGAAUUUUAGUGUUCUGUAACAGCUGUCUUUUCUUCUUGAAUCCUAAAAAUGUAACAAAUUUAUUUUAAUCCAAAUCAAUCUUUGUAAUUUUUUUUUUGAGAUAUGUUGACAGUUUUUCAAUCUCAAAAAUUAUCAGUUAAGGUGCCCCAUAGUUAUCAAGGAGAGUCUGUUUGAUCUUGGCUGUCUUCCUUCAGCUCAAAGGGUCAAAUCUGGACUUCAAAACUGCAAUGGAUAUCCUGGUUUGCUGAUGUGAGUACAGAAUUGAUUAAUGGAGCAAGGUCAAGGCUUAUAUUGAAGGAUCAUGACCUACUUAAAAUACUUGGUUUUAGCUAGAUAGAUGCAUCUAUAAACAGAAAUCAACUAAGCUGGGAUCACAAAAAUUACAUUUCUGGUAAAGUGACUAACUAAUAGCAGGUGAGUUGCAUAAUUGGUCACAGGGUAGACUAUAAUGGGGCAGGUAUUCUGAGAGGCCAGCAACACAUGGGUAGAUGGGAUCACAAAAAUAACACUUCCCGUAAAGUGACUCAUUUAGCAGAUGAGGUGUAUAACUGGCCACAGGGUAGACUAUGAUGGGGCAGGUUUUCUGAGAGGCCAGAAGUAUAUAUGCAGCAAAAAUUGACCUAAAAACUCCCCCGCGCCUGAUCUAUCAGGAAAUUGUGCCAUUUCAGUCAGAAUAUGAACACGGAGUAAUAAUAUGAAGCUUUCCCUUAUUGAAUGGGUUUAAUGGGAGUGUAUUUUUA